AUACGGAGGAUGCGAGCGUUAUCCGGAUUUAUUGGGUUUAAAGGGAGCGUAGGUGGGAUAUUAAGUCAGCUGUGAAAGCUUGGGGCUCAACCUUAAAUUUGCAGUUGAUACUGGUUUACUUGAGUACGGAACAGGUGGGCGGAAUUCGUGGUGUAGCGGUGAAAUGCUUAGAUAUCACGAAGAACUCUGAUCGCGAAGGCAGCUCACCGGGCCGGAACUGACACUGAUGCUCGAAAGUGCGGGUAUCAAACAGGAUUAGAUACCCUGGUAGUCCGCACAGUAAACGAUGAAUACUCGCUGUUUGCGAUACACGGUAAGCGGCCAAGCGAAAGCGUUAAGUAUUCCAUCUGGGGAGUACGCCGGCAACGGUGAAACUUAAAGGAAUUGGCGGGG
This 393-nucleotide ribosomal RNA is filed under the name uncultured bacterium. RNAcentral describes it as "partial 16S ribosomal RNA". It matches the Rfam family "Bacterial small subunit ribosomal RNA", at positions 523 to 918 of the family's 1533-position model. The record is from RNAcentral.